RNAcentral lists this ribosomal RNA (119 nucleotides) under Pteropus alecto (black flying fox). Lineage: Eukaryota; Metazoa; Chordata; Mammalia; Chiroptera; Pteropodidae. The record is from RNAcentral.
AUCUAUAGUUAUGCUACCCUGAACAAGCCUGAUCCCGUCUGAUCUCGGAAACUAAGCAGAGUCGGGCCUGGUUAGUACUUGGAUGGGAGACCACCUAGGAAGACAAGGUGCUGUAGGCG